AACGAACGCUGGCGGCAUGCCUAACACAUGCAAGUCGAACGAGACCUUCGGGUCCAGUGGCGCACGGGUGCGUAACGCGUGGGAACCUGCCCUUAGGUUUGGAAUAACUCCCCGAAAGGGGUGCUAAUACCGGACAAUGUCUUCGGACCAAAGAUUUAUCGCCUUUGGAUGGGCCCGCGUUGGAUUAGCUAGUUGGUAGGGUAAAAGCCUACCAAGGCGACGAUCCAUAGCUGGUCUGAGAGGAUGGUCAGCCACACUGAGACUGAGACACGGCCCAGACUCCUACGGGAGGCAGCAGUGGGGAAUAGAGGAAAAUGGGCGAAGGCCUGAUCCAGCAAUGCCGCGUGAGUGAUGAAGGCCUUAGGGUUGUAAAGCUCUUUUACCCGGGAUGAUAAUGACAGUACCGGGAGAAUAAGCUCCGGCUAACUCCGUG
Molecule: ribosomal RNA, 433 nt
Filed under: uncultured bacterium
Lineage: Bacteria
Description: partial 16S ribosomal RNA
Rfam family: Bacterial small subunit ribosomal RNA
Source: RNAcentral